AUUUUCUCACAAAGAAUCCGUUUGUAGACAUGCACACUCAUUUAAUCUGCAGCUACGAAGUACUUUGUCACUUCUCUGUAACAUUAUUCUAAGCAGAAUUAUCCUGAUUCAUAUAUUCUAAGAAUCUUGUGUGAAUUGUUUACGAGGAAAUUCUGACUGUCACAUUAACAAGGAUGAACACUCUUGACUCUGCUUCGGAUUUCCCAGUGAUAAUUGUAUCGAGUGAUGAAAGAGCUGACGGCGACAUUUUAAUGUAUGAUUGGCUUGGACCAUUGGAAUGAAGGUUAGAAUAUUUUUAUUACUUAAAAUUUACACUACUGUCAGAUUACAUGACAGUGACAUACAUUGAUGUUAUUAGAAAUACACAGACACACCGAUAUAUUAUCUGUUUUACAGUUCAGACGCUCUCUGUUUGCCUUGUAAAUCCCCACAGCUUUAUAUUUUAUUUUUUUUUUAAAUUUGAGGAUGUAAUUUCAACAGCCCUACUAUCUAUCAUAGUGAUCAUACUCUAUAAUUCAAACUGCACUUAAUGUUUCAGAAUAUAUUCAACUAAUUAUAUAUUGACAGUGUGACUGUAAGGGUGAGGGCAGAUACUUAUUUAGUUUUAAUUUAGAUUGUGCUUGUCAAGCCGCAUUUGACAUUUGGUGCAUCCAUGCUCAGUGUUCACACUGAGAGUUUAUUCAAAUGUUUAAUACGAAUGAAUUCACUGCUCGUUAAAUUACUUCCCAUUAGCUCCAUGGGAACAUGAGUAAGGAUAGCUAAUUCAAAUUCAAUAGACAUGAAUUUUGAAUGUAGCUUAAACAUUAUAAAGAAGCUAAGCACUGUGGGUCCAAAGUAUACUGCGGAAAAAUUGUGUGGAGCAAUGUGCAAGUCACAAUCUUCUUUUGCCAAGGUGUUAUCAUAAGAGCUCGCAUUAUGGGCAGGGAUUUGUGCUGCUGUCUGGACUCGCUAUAAAUAGAUGUUCUCAAAAAGUCUUAAUUAUUUAAUAUCAUACUUUACUGACAAAAAAGGACAAAUAUUGCUCAGUUAAAUUGCAAAAGAAAUUUGUUUAAAAAAAUUGUAAUAAUAGAAAGUUUGCUUUUUUGUUUGAUAAGACUGCUGUAAUGGUUUAAUGUUUGUUUAUUUGCCUUAAUCAUACAUUUUUCAGUCAUUUCAUGGUGCCACCACUUGGGAUGGUAUUAGCUGCAAAUAUAGAGUUGCACUCAGCACUUAUUGCCUUUAAGAAGUAUGAGAUCCAUUUUGUGCUAACACCUACCCUGAAACAGAAUCUUGGUUUAUGCAGUCUCAUAGGAGUAACCUGUCUAAAGCAUUUAGCAAUGGGAUUGGAACCUGCGACGUGUGACUCAUCUGAAUACUGAAUUUUGAUACCAAGCAUGACCAUGAUUUGCCAGAAGAUCAUCUGUUUGGAUGUGACAUGGAAUAAACAGCAUAGUGAAAAUAAGUCAAGUUUUGAGAAUUUUACACUCCUAUUGAGGUACCACCAGUUGCUAGUGGAAAGCUGCAAAUUCGAAACAUACACAACACAUUUCUGUGCGUUUAUUAUAAAAGUAU
Long non-coding RNA from Saccostrea cuccullata (small rock oyster), 1551 nucleotides. RefSeq lists it as uncharacterized. NCBI's taxonomy places the organism in Eukaryota, Metazoa, Mollusca, Bivalvia, Ostreida, Ostreidae. The transcript has 3 exons. The record is from RefSeq and is a predicted model, not a curated record.